ACUCGAUGGAAUCAAGUCCACCACCAUCAAAGCUUUCACCUGAAUCUGGCGCGGGCAGGACUGGAGGACCAAGUGCUAGCUAGCACUUGCAGAAAUUCCUGCACUGAAAAAGAGCUCUUAGCAGAGUGCUAUCAAUUCUGUUUUGCGCAUGCGCAGUGGUUAAUCUCCAACCGCGUGGAACAGCGCCGCCAAAAGAGUGACGCUGAGAGAGGAGGACAUGACGGUGGAAAAGAUUUCUAAAAUAUUUCAGGUAACCAGCCAGAGCCUGUACCUCACUGACGAUACCAAUGUGGCAGUUUUCCCUGGAGCAGAGGGCCACUUCAGUUCAUUCGACCUCAGGGACAAGGCCCAUUACGAAGUACGCAGGGCCGGGGCUGUGCUGGAUGCAGGUGUUAACGUUGCUGCGGGCCCACUACCUACUCCUUCCACGAGCGGCCAGUUUCGCUUCUCCAGGUCGGCUAGCUCAGCAAGCCACUCAGGGAUCAAUCCCUGAAAUACUUUACAAGGACUGUCAGUCUGGGAGAGGUACAGAGUGGAAAGCUUGUGAACAGCAGAAUGGUGGUUGUAAGAUUUACGGAGCAGGAGGCCAGUGUCCCAUCCAUGAUUGACAAAGUAAAAGAUGCCUUAGGAAGCAAUGAACAACUCAUCCUGACAGACCACAAUGGAGUGGAAAUAUUGGACUCAGAAGGAACAAGAGGCACCUUUUAUUGGAAGCAGAACUCGCGAAAAAUCAUGGCUGUACCAGAGGUUGAUUUCCAAGCUGUGCAACAAAAGAGGCGAAGAAUCUCACGCAGAGAUGAUGAGGGUGGACUGGACAGUGUGUUCGAGAAGAUCGAGGGGCUUGUCCUGGCUGCUCAGGGUUUGUCUGAGGUGACAACUAUCAUUCAGGGACUCUCUGACCUGGUCCAUCGAAAGAGGAACACAACAUUGGUACUGACCGAAGAACAGUCAGUGAAUGUUAGGGAUACAUUCACUUGUCUGGUUUGCAGAGGUAAGUCUUGUCCUUACAAAUAAUGUAUUUACCCUGACAAACAUAUUGUUGUUUUUUGGUGGAAUUUAUGAUGUAGUGGUCAUUUAAAAGCUUAAGUGUCCUUGUGGUGGCAAAUUUUAUUUUAACUAAAAAAUUUUAAAUAAAAAUGUACCCUGGAGAAAUCCUUCUUUCUUUGAGAGAGGACAGCCAGAGGAGGAGAGACACACACACACACACACACACACAGAGAUAAGACACAAGCUAAAACCAAACAUGAGUAGUACAGUAGUACAAGUGAAAUUUUGGUUUAAAGAAAUGAUUUUGAUAUACAUUUUUGUUGAAUGUUAUAUGAUAUGAUGCUUCCCAUAACAGGUAACGAUUUGGAUAAAUAGAAGGCUAAAAACUUUAAUUUGUAAUGAUUCUUGGAACUAGCAGAUGGUAAUUAGUGUUACU
Molecule: long non-coding RNA, 1423 nt
Organism: Perca fluviatilis (European perch)
Lineage: Eukaryota; Metazoa; Chordata; Actinopteri; Perciformes; Percidae
Exons: 7
Source: RefSeq, a predicted model, not a curated record